RNAcentral lists this ribosomal RNA (1987 nucleotides) under Campylobacter jejuni. RNAcentral describes it as "partial 23S ribosomal RNA". It matches the Rfam family "Bacterial large subunit ribosomal RNA", at positions 1 to 1992 of the family's 2925-position model. The record is from RNAcentral. Lineage: Bacteria; Pseudomonadati; Campylobacterota; Epsilonproteobacteria; Campylobacterales; Campylobacteraceae.
AGGUAAGCUACUAAGAGCGAAUGGUGGAUGCCUUGACUGGUAAAGGCGAUGAAGGACGUACUAGACUGCGAUAAGCUACGGGGAGCUGUCAAGAAGCUUUGAUCCGUAGAUUUCCGAAUGGGUCAACCCAAUGUAUAGAGAUAUACAUUACCUAUAUAGGAGCGAACGAGGGGAAUUGAAACAUCUUAGUACCCUCAGGAAAAGAAAUCAAUAGAGAUUGCGUCAGUAGCGGCGAGCGAAAGCGCAAGAGGGCAAACCCAGUGCUUGCACUGGGGGUUGUAGGACUGCAAUGUGCAAGAGGUAAGUUUAGCAGAACAUUCUGGAAAGUAUAACCAUAGAGGGUGAUAGUCCCGUAUGCGAAAAACAAACCUUAGCUAGCAGUAUCCUGAGUAGGGCGGGACACGAGGAAUCCUGUCUGAAUCCGGGUCGACCACGAUCCAACCCUAAAUACUAAUACCAGAUCGAUAGUGCACAAGUACCGUGAGGGAAAGGUGAAAAGAACUGAGGUGAUCAGAGUGAAAUAGAACCUGAAACCAUUUGCUUACAAUCAUUCAGAGCCCUAUGUAGCAAUACAGGGUGAUGGACUGCCUUUUGCAUAAUGAGCCUGCGAGUUGUGGUGUCUGGCAAGGUUAAGCAAACGCGAAGCCGUAGCGAAAGCGAGUCUGAAUAGGGCGCUUAGUCAGAUGCUGCAGACCCGAAACGAAGUGAUCUAUCCAUGAGCAAGUUGAAGCUAGUGUAAGAACUAGUGGAGGACUGAACCCAUAGGCGUUGAAAAGCCCCGGGAUGACUUGUGGAUAGGGGUGAAAGGCCAAUCAAACUUCGUGAUAGCUGGUUCUCUCCGAAAUAUAUUUAGGUAUAGCGUUGUGUCGUAAUAUAAGGGGGUAGAGCACUGAAUGGGCUAGGGCAUACACCAAUGUACCAAACCCUAUCAAACUCCGAAUACCUUAUAUGUAAUCACAGCAGUCAGGCGGCGAGUGAUAAAAUCCGUCGUCAAGAGGGAAACAACCCAGACUACCAGCUAAGGUCCCUAAAUCUUACUUAAGUGGAAAACGAUGUGAAGUUACUUAAACAACCAGGAGGUUGGCUUAGAAGCAGCCAUCCUUUAAAGAAAGCGUAAUAGCUCACUGGUCUAGUGAUUUUGCGCGGAAAAUAUAACGGGGCUAAAGUAAGUACCGAAGCUGUAGACUUAGUUUACUAAGUGGUAGGAGAGCGUUCUAUUUGCGUCGAAGGUAUACCGGUAAGGAGUGCUGGAGCGAAUAGAAGUGAGCAUGCAGGCAUGAGUAGCGAUAAUUAAUGUGAGAAUCAUUAACGCCGUAAACCCAAGGUUUCCUACGCGAUGCUCGUCAUCGUAGGGUUAGUCGGGUCCUAAGUCGAGUCCGAAAGGGGUAGACGAUGGCAAAUUGGUUAAUAUUCCAAUACCAACAUUAGUGUGCGAUGGAAGGACGCUUAGGGCUAAGGGGGCUAGCGGAUGGAAGUGCUAGUCUAAGGUCGUAGGAGGUUGUACAGGCAAAUCCGUAUAACAAUACUCCGAGAACUGAAAGGCUUUUUGAAGUCUUCGGAUGGAUAGAAGAACCCCUGAUGCCGUCGAGCCAAGAAAAGUUUCUAAGUUUAGCUAAUGUUGCCCGUACCGUAAACCGACACAGGUGGGUGGGAUGAGUAUUCUAAGGCGCGUGGAAGAACUCUCUUUAAGGAACUCUGCAAAAUAGCACCGUAUCUUCGGUAUAAGGUGUGGUUAGCUUUGUAUUAGGAUUUACUCCGAAAGCAAGGAAACUUACAACAAAGAGUCCCUCCCGACUGUUUACCAAAAACACAGCACUCUGCUAACUCGUAAGAGGAUGUAUAGGGUGUGACGCCUGCCCGGUGCUCGAAGGUUAAUUGAUGGGGUUAGCAUUAGCGAAGCUCUUGAUCGAAGCCCGAGUAAACGGCGGCCGUAACUAUAACGGUCCUAAGGUAGCGAAAUUCCUUGUCGGUUAAAUACCGACCUGCA